This 107-nucleotide unclassified non-coding RNA is filed under the name soil metagenome. RNAcentral describes it as "partial internal transcribed spacer 1". The record is from RNAcentral.
GUGAACGCCCUCACGGGCUUAUACUAUUCCAAACCUCUGUGAACCGUGCCCUUCGGGGCUAUUUUACAAACAUGGUGUAAUGAACGUUCAUAUAUCAUAACAAAACA